Molecule: small RNA, 463 nt
Filed under: Pongo abelii (Sumatran orangutan)
Lineage: Eukaryota; Metazoa; Chordata; Mammalia; Primates; Hominidae
Description: retained intron
Source: RNAcentral
UUUUUUUUGGCUGUUUCUCUGAUAUCUUUGGCUCCCCUUUCCUGGCUUAGAGGGGCACCCUUUGGCCACAUCUCCUACCCUGACCCCAGAUUCCAGCCCUGAGCUCCAGAAACAGAGAGACUUGUUAGAGAGCCCAGGAGAUGCCUUCUCCUCUCCACAACCCUGAGGAGCCCGAGGGGUAACUAGGAGCUGACUGGGCCUUGAGGGUAUUGGGGUUCCAACCUGACCCUCAUGCUGUGAUCCCCCCAGGAUGAGAAGGCUGAGGGCCUCAUCAAUGUCUCCAACUAUAGUCUGGAAAGUGGACACGAUCAGAAGAAGAAAUAUGUGUUUCAGCUCACCCAUGAUGUGUACAAACCCUUCAUCUUCGCUGCUGAUACCCUGACAGAUUUGAGCAUGUGGGUGCGUCAUCUCAUUACCUGCAUUUCCAAGUACCAGUCUCCAGGCCGGGCCCCCCUGCCCCAAG